This is a long non-coding RNA of Cornus florida, 6591 nucleotides long. RefSeq lists it as uncharacterized. The record is from RefSeq and is a predicted model, not a curated record. The transcript is spliced from 4 exons. Lineage: Eukaryota; Viridiplantae; Streptophyta; Magnoliopsida; Cornales; Cornaceae.
UAUUCAUUUUUCAUUUUCCAAUUUCCAAUCACUCUCACCUUCUCUCUUUACCCCCAAUCCUCUCUCUGUCUAGUUCGACUCAAACUCUCUCUCUACACCUAAUCCUCUCUCGUCGCUCCUUGCUUUCUUUCUCUACCCUACUCCUUUCUCUCUCUAGCUUGACUCAGACUGGUCUCUCCUCGCUCUUCAAUGGAGAGCUUGAUCUACCAAAAUUAUACUGCGAACACAGUCCAUGUUGGAGUUUGAUUUAGGAGCCAAAUCGACAUCUAAUUCGCCAAAACAGGCCAACAAUCAUCGACGUUAUCUCCAUUUUUGUCCACUCGCAGGUAAAUUUCACAGCUCCUUUUUUGUUUGAAUUUAUUAUUUCAUUAUUAAUUGGGGAUUGAUGUUAUUUCUCACUUUCUCUCUCCACUCUCGCUCCUCACUUCUUCACUCAUCAUUAUUUCUCCUAAAUCAAACUGCGAACCCUAGGUUUUUCACUCUUCAUCAUAAUUUGUUUUUAUUGGAUUUUAUGCUCAAUUAGGCAUUGAUGUUUGUAUAUAUAGUAGUGCAUUAGCACAAUCUUUUAAUUUUCAACAGUAUUUAAACCAUAUGAAUGGAAAACUCGUCAGGCAUAACCACAUACUAGAUAUGGUUUUCAGUAAUUAAAAAAUGUUUCAAGGUUUUAAUUAACAUAUAUACUGCACAAUACUUAAUUCUAUAUAGAAAAUCCAACCAUCAAAAUAUCAUAAUUCUGGACAUUUCCAACAAUAUUAGGAAAAUAUAUAUAUAGUGAAAACAAUUCAGAAAAAAUUACUGCAAGCAAAAACUACAAAUAUCACUUUAAAAAUAUAAGUCACAAAGCAGGAGUAGGAGUGAGUGAGAAAAAGAAAGUCGGAGCAGAAGAGGAGAACUUUAAACUUCAGUCGCAUCUUUAGAAUGCAUACUAUAAUGAACUUAUGAUUUUAAUAUAUAUAACAUGUGUACAUACACGUUGAUGUAUAUAAAUGUACUGAUAAGAAAUUAAUAUAAUCAAAAAAUUGAUCCAUAAUAGGGGGUUAAAGUGGAAUUGUGAAUAUAUUUAGGUUAGAUUAAGUCUAUUCGAUUUGAUAGUGUUUUCUUUACAAUUUUCACCUAUUAUGCUCUAUUGCUGAAAUGUUAUGUAGAUUCAUUGCUUUGUUUAGCUUUGCAUCUGAAAUCUUUAUAUACAAACUUUUGUUGUAUAUAAUUUUGUAUAAACUUGUGUGGCAAAACAAUCAUUCAUUCUUCUUUCUUUUUGUGACCGCAUUAGCAUUGUUCAUCAUAGUUUAUCUGAUUUCAUUAUCUGAUUUUUCUAUUGAUAACAAUUUUCAAUUCUUUUGGCAAUCUGAAAAAUCGCCACAAUUUGGAUUCCAAUGAAUGGCGCUCAAAGCUGGCUAUAAUUUACUUGUUCAUAAGGUUGCAUUAAGUUUCUAAUCAUUCAAUUCUAUCCAUAAUCAAAGUUCUUUGACAACUUAAACUUGUAUGUAUGUAGUUUACACCUCACCCAGCAUCCUCACUUCCCUUCCCCCCCAUCCUUUGCUUGUAAAGACCAUAGUUGUUAAAGGCUCAAGACGCACAAAAGCGCAAAGGCCUUCUGGAGCCUAAGACGCAAGGCGAGGCGCGCGCCCAACUGAAGCAAAGCGCACGUUGAAAAAAAAAAAAAAAAAAAAAAAAAAGAAAGAAACCACCCAAUAAAGAUGCAACAGUAUAUAUAAAGAUGCAAAAGUCAACUAAAUCAAUUACUUAAGUUUAAUAUUCAACAUAAACAUGCCAAAGCCAACUAAAUCAAGUACUUGAGUUCAACAGUGAAUAAUCAUAAAAAUGCAAAAUGCAAAAAACAUAAUAUUAUUUCAUGCAAAAAGCAAAAAAGCAUUUAUCUGUCCAUAACUCCAUGUUGAUGCAGAAAGUAGAAAGUAGUGUUGAUGCAGAAAGCAGAAUAUUAUUUAUUAAUAUAUGGAAAUUAUUUCGAUCACAACUUAUAUAUAUAUAUAUAUAAAUAUAUAUAUAUAUAAAUUUUAAUUCAACUAUACAACUAUGAAAGAAAAAACAAAACCUCUGAAUAUUGCAAUUUGAUUGAAUUUAUUUAAUUUUUAGUGAUUCAAUAAUUUCACUGAACACUUGAAUUUUAUAAAUUGAUAUAUGCAGUGAAGUUCUCUAGUUAACCAGUUUUUCUCAAUGACUGCAAAUUUAAAAUAUAUAUAUUUUCGUCAAAACAUAUAACAAAACUAAUAUGGUAAGAAAAAUAAUGCUAAAUUGAUUUAUAAUUUUUUAAAAUUUGUUUAGCUACAAACACGUGUGCGAUCAAUAUAUAUACUAAAUGUGUCCUUAUGAAAUACAAAGGAAAAGUCUAAAGGCAUACACAAUUACACACUUAGAACUGGGAACCAAAAAAGAGAGAGAAAAGAAGAUUCUGUCGAGACUCGGAGAAGAAAAGAAAAGAAUUAUGCCGACACUCCAGAGAGCUGAGAGAAGAGAGAAGAAGAAGAAAAGAAGAAGAAAAGAGAGAAAAAGAUGCCGAGAGAAGAGAAGAGAGAAAAAUAAGAGAGAGAAGAAGAACAUACCGUGACUCAGCAGAUCCGAGAUUGCUUCGCCUUCGCCUUCGCGGUUCGCAAGCCCUAGCCUCUGUCUCUUGAGUCUUUCCUUUUACUAUUUUGGUUAAUUGGUUUUCUUUUAUUUUUUUUUGUUUUGUAAGUUUGGUAAAGUUAUAUAAAAAGUAAUAAUAAUCAAAUAGUUACCAAAAAUAAUAAUAAUAAACAAUAGCAAACAAAAAUAAUAACAAAACAACUAAAAAAAAGCCUUUUUGAAGCAGGCACGCCUUUUAUGCGCCUAUAGCCUUGCGCCUUAGUAGUAGAGGCGCGCGCCCUCUUCAAGUUAGUCGCCUUAAGUCCUUAAAGGCGCCAUGAUGGUGCCUCCCGCACCUUUGACAACUAUGGUAACAACACAAAAAUUCGGCAUGACCUCUGCAGAAAAGAGUCCUUCUACAACCUGCUUAAUGCAUAUGAAAUGCAAUGGCCUCACUUGGGCCUUCAAAACUGAACUAACAUACUACAACACAAGAUGUAAAUAAUAAACCUUAAUCCAAAAUCUACAACAUCAACACCAUCCUCAAAAGAAUUCAUCAUCAUCAUCCCAUUCAUCCAGAACAUAGAAAUACCUGUCUUAUACAUAGUCCCAUGCUCACAUACUAGAAUUUUACUCCAAUUACAUCAACUUACAGUCCAUGAAGCAAAAUUACAAUAACAAGAGUUCAUAAGUCUCUAUAUCAAAUAUAACAAACUAAGGUUAUACAUAAAUAAUAGGACUUAGAUACAAAAAUAGCAAAUGAUCCUCUAAUCCAAACUAAGCCUGUGGUGGAGCAUCAUCCGCCACUUCUUUCCCGUGUCUUGAAAAAUAUUAAAAAAAUAAAUAAUGGGGAGUAGAAGUCACCUAAGGCGUUAGUUUUUGACUCCGUUGAACCACGUAGCAUGUAAAGGAAUAGAAAAGGAAUCGGGGUCAUACAAUGGGGGUAUGCAACAUUUUCAACUCAAUAGGCAACAGUCCCAAUACUUAACGCAAUUUCACAAUUGAUGUGCUUGAUAUGAAAUGUGAUGUACCCGUCCCAAAUCUGGCCUAUACCGACCCAACCCACAUUUUUUUAAAAAAAAUCCGAUAACUUGACUUUACCGAGGCAAGAUUAAUAACUAUCUCCGGUUUUAAAUCCGGCAACCGUUAAGGGGCCUAGUAUUAACUUUUUCACACCCUACACUGGGCCGCGCUCCCUUUAGGUCAAGUUAGCCCCGGACUCGCGAAAUCCGGUUCAUUUAAAUAAAAAAAAAACCUUUCCAUCUUUUUUUAAAAAAAAACUUUACUCUUUAAAAGUAUCAAAAUUUUCCUUUCACCUCUUCUCCGAACCCCUCCCUUAUGCCAUGAUAUGCUAUGUAAUGAUUUACAUCCUUAUAAUUUCAAUUCCAUCAUCAUCGUAUCAAGAACAACGUUAUCAUAGCAUUUAUAUUAAUCAACUAAGAUUAUGGCAUACUUUGGAAGUUUAAAACAAUAAGGACAUAAUUAUCCAAAGUAAGAUAUAUGAACAAGAAUCAUCCACAAGCAUGCCAACAUAUAAUUAUAUACACAAUAUCAUGCUUGAACACAUAAAACAUUCAUAAUCCACAAUCUCAUAUCAAGGUUUAAAAUUUUAGAAAUAUAAUAUAAGUAAAUAAAAAUUGCUCAAAUACAAAGACAAAACUUAACACAUUAGGGAGACCCCUACCUCACAAGAAGAACAACCCAAGCAAAGCCUCAAUGAAAGAGUUGUUUCAUGGAUCCGAAAUAGAGUAUUUGAGUUCUCCCAAAUACUAAAAAAUGUAUCAUGCCUGAAUCAAACUAGAGUUCGGGGUGGUGGAGGAACUGGAUUGGAAAAAAAGAUGGAUUCUAGUUGGAAGAUAUCUAAUGAAACCAUCACUGGAAUUCAGAUCUUAUUCAAAGAGAAAGACAUCAAAUAUCUGGAGUUUUAUUUUGUAUAUCAUAUGGGAAUUGUUUGAUUGUCUUUCUCUGAGGAAGAGGCAAAAUAUAAUCAACUUGAAUUCGGGAACGCUAUUCGUAUAGCCCCAAAAUAGCCCAAUACGAAUUCCCAAAUGGUGGCCAAACGGAGAUUGGCUUCAAUCAAAAUGACGGCCUCGACGAGCUCUCCAACUUUGCCUUAAGCGGCAAUACCAAAUUCUCAAAGAAAAUGGCUAGAUCGAGGCUUUUAUGGUUGAAGGAAGAAAAUAAUUAGAAAUGGUAGAGAGAGAGAAAUUAGAGAAGAAAAGAAAAUAGAAUGGGUCUGUAAUGACCAAUUAGUCAUUGUAAUGACUUAAAACAUCCAGCGGACCCCACGACUUAAAAGAAUUUCUUUUAACAUUAUUACUUAUAUAUAUAUAUAUAUAUAUACACACACACAUAUACAAUAAUCAAUUCACCACCACAUUAAUAAACAUAUAACCACAUAAUUUUGCAUCAAAUAAACAUGCAUGAAAUGCAAUAGACCCGUGACAUAACUCCCGUGCACAACGACCCCGGUAGCGGGUCCCGCCCAGGACCUCCCAGCCCGAAAAAUAGAAAAAUGCCGAAAUGGCAACCAAUGCAUUUUUAAGAGUCCUGAAUUCAAGAAAAUGUCCUAAUCAACACUCUGACACACUCGGCACACCCCACGGUGUCUGACACGUAAAACGUGAAAAGACGAAAAAAUCAUAAACAUUACAUUAUUCUUAUAAACUCUAAUCUAUUUCCUUUUAGAUGUAGUUAUUGGUUUACAUAUUAUGCUAUAUAUGAGACAAUAAUAUAACUUAUUUCCUCGCUAAAUUAACAACGGAUUGUACCAUAUUCUUCAUUGAGCAACUAGGAUAAUAAAAGUAUUCCCAGUAAUAAGUUGGUUUUUUAUAUUCUCAGUAUUUUUGACUGCGUGUGAGCUUAGGUAGUAAAGUAGAUUGCAGUAUCAGAGACUUCACUUAAACUUGAAGAAUUAAUGCGGUAAAGGUGAAAACAGAAUGGGAUGGGAGGGGACUGAAAGGAAAGGGGAGAUCAUAAUUUUAUGCCUUAGUUGACUAUUUUACAUGAAGCUACUAAUUUCGUGUAUCAUGCUUGCAUGUACUCUAUAACCUACUUGCCUUUGUAGUUUCUUCAAUCACAUUGUUUAUAGUUGCCACUUUAAGGACACAAAUAUGGAUAUGAGUUGGAUUCACAGAUCAAGGUACAUUUUUUAGAAUAUUUUUCCUUCCAUUUUAUAUGAUUUAUAAGCUUAUAACACAUGUUUAACAAGUUAGUCUCUCUCUUUUCUUUUCUUUUCUUUUUUUUUUUUUUUUUUAAUGUGUUCGGUAAUAUCAGAGUGAGCGAAGAAUACGUAGAAGGAGUUGGAAUCCGCGUUCAGAAGUAAGGGGCAUUGAAUUGGGACAUCAUAAUUGGGAAGUAAGUGUUACCAUUCCAAUCAUGCAAGAAAAACCAUUACCUAUUGCUUCUAUACGUUUCAAAACUAUUGGAGAUACAGUUGGAGCUAGCGUUUCUUGGCCUUCUGCUUAUGUUAUAUAUAGAGAAGGAUGAUACUUGGAGGAUAACAAAGAUGAUAAAUGGAUGAAACUCAAUCUUCAUAUAACAAAGAAAGUUGAUAUUGAGCUUUUCCUCAUCAAUUUGUAGCUCUGUUUAAAGACAUGUUCAUUGAAAAAUUAUUUUUUUAUGGAUGUCGCGUCUAAUGCAUAUAAAUUUUAAUCUUCUCAUCAUAUAUUUCUUCAUUGGCUGCAGGGCUUCCUUUUUUUGUGCAUUUGAUGUGUCUGGCAUUGGUUGCUUUGGUUUCUCAUUGGAAUGGCAUGGGAUAAUCUUCUACUACUGUUGUCUUCAGUUUAGUUUAAAGGAACCAGCUUUGUUCUCUCGUGAGAGGAGAGUGUGUGUGGGGACUGAGAGGAAGGGUUGCAUUAGAUAGAAGAGAGUUUGUUUGGGUCGUGGGAUAAUAUUUAUUGGCAUAAUGAGUUAUGCAACUAGACUACAAAAAACCAAUAGGGGUGGUUGUACAAAGAUGAUUCUUGGAGGAUAACAAGGAUGAAACAUAGAGUCUCUCUUUCUCUCUGUUUUUUUUUUUUUUCACAA